GCCAACAGUAUAUUACUGUAAAUAGCAAAGGAUUAUGGGAAAAUAUAAGUUUAGUACUGUAAUUAUUCUCUACUGUAAAUCGAUUUACAGUAGCGACAAUGCCCGCGAAAAAAACUGACCAAUGACAACGGAGACUUCUUUUCAACGGUUUUUUUUUUUCGGUUGGUUGGGACAACGGAGGAAACACUCAACAAAAAGGUUAGUAUUGUUUCUGUAAUUAUUUUAUUUAAAACCGAGAUAUUUUCAAAUGCAGUCACUUAUUAACAGCAACCUAACAAGAACCAGUGUUGCAAAUUGAGUGAGUUGUGAGGACAAUAUUCCUGUAGUCAAGACUUUUUUUCUGCCUGUUUGUCAAGGCCUGAGGUAAUGUUACAAUUGUUACUGCCCUUAUCAUUAUGACAACUUCAACGGGGUGAAUAAAGUUUACAUUGACUGAUAUUUAGUGACACAGAAACAAAAUAAGCUUUUUUUUAAUGCGCCUCUGCCUCUUUAAUGUAAAUUAGCUAAGCAGGAGAACUCUGUGGAAACUUUACGUUAACAGCAAACUAUCUUGAAGUACAAAAAGAAAACGUGAGGCAACACUAAAGACGGAGGUUGUAUAACAGUAUUUUGAAGUGAAUAUUUCGUUUUCAUUUAGUUUUUUGCUGUUAGAACCGCGGAACGUCGGAGGUUUGGAGUUGCUUGGAGUUAUUUUCUGGCGGUUACCGUCAUCUGAAGAAACUGGUCACUGCAACUCCAGCAGAUGCAGAGAGAAGCCUCUCUCUGCCCAGUACCCCAAGACUGAUUGCACUUGGUUCAUUCUGAGAAUAAACCCUGAUGGCACCAAAUGCCUAAAUCACAAAAUCAAAAUCACAGAUCAGCCGGGCAUCUGGAAAAAGGGUGCAGAGAAAAAUCGCCAGCCUGAAUCCUCUUGUGACAUCUUUCAUCAGAGAGCUUGUUGAAUUCGAUUGGCCAAAUUAUUGAAAGAAAACACGACUAAAACAUGUUUUUACUGUUUGAUUUGUUCUGCUUUUCAGAAUGUUUUUCAGAAAUGUUUAGCCAUGUUACAAAUACACAGGAUGAAUUCAAACACAUUUGUAGAAUGUACUUUUUAAAGUAAAUGUUAAAUAAUGAAAUAGUUAAACAAUGAAACAGCACAUUUUAAUGACAAAUGUUCAUGAGAACUUAUGCAUUUUUGGGGGAGUAAAAAACGUAUAGUUUACAGCUAGUGGUUUUUCAUUCGUUAAACAUCAGUUACACCUGUUGUUAAUUUCAUUAAUUGGUUCGUCUUUUUAUACUCUGUGUUUGGUUUUGUUGCUUUGUUUCCUGAGUAUUUUGAGUUCUAUAUUAAAUAAAAC
Molecule: long non-coding RNA, 1337 nt
Organism: Carassius gibelio (silver crucian carp)
Lineage: Eukaryota; Metazoa; Chordata; Actinopteri; Cypriniformes; Cyprinidae
Exons: 3
Source: RefSeq, a predicted model, not a curated record